This 207-nucleotide ribosomal RNA is filed under the name uncultured bacterium. RNAcentral's name for it is "partial 16S ribosomal RNA". It matches the Rfam family "Bacterial small subunit ribosomal RNA", at positions 568 to 774 of the family's 1533-position model. The record is from RNAcentral.
CACGUAGGCGGAUAUUUAAGUCAGGGGUGAAAUCCCAGAGCUCAACUCUGGAACUGCCUUUGAUACUGGGUAUCUUGGGUAUGGAAGAGGUGAGUGGAAUUCCGAGUGUAGAGGUGAAAUUCGUAGAUAUUCGGAGGAACACCAGUGGCGAAGGCGGCUUACUGGUCCAUUACUGACGCUGAGGUGCGAAAGCGUGGGGAGCAAACA